This is a long non-coding RNA of Mercenaria mercenaria, 321 nucleotides long. RefSeq lists it as uncharacterized. NCBI's taxonomy places the organism in Eukaryota, Metazoa, Mollusca, Bivalvia, Venerida, Veneridae. The record is from RefSeq and is a predicted model, not a curated record. The transcript has 4 exons.
CUUCCUCAUUCCUAUCCAGAUGUUUAACAUUUUAUUUGUUCUUUGUGUCGGUGCGACGUUAAACGCAACAAAAUAAAAAAAAAUCUUUGUUUUAUAUUUUAGUGAAAAAUAUAUUGAUUAGGAUAAACGAACGUAUGGUGCAUGAAAGAAGAUGAAGAUUUAUCUAAUUAUAAUAUGUUUAGGACUGGCGACAGAAAGCUUUUGUAGUGGCACGAAGACGGUCAAUACAAACACUUGCAAAACAAAAUUGCACAGUUAUACUGAACAAACGGUUUUGUUUCUUGAAGCACUGAGCAAAUUUUCUAAACAGCCGCUUAGAAU